RNAcentral lists this ribosomal RNA (267 nucleotides) under uncultured bacterium. Its description in RNAcentral is "partial 16S ribosomal RNA". It matches the Rfam family "Bacterial small subunit ribosomal RNA", at positions 29 to 289 of the family's 1533-position model. The record is from RNAcentral.
AUUAACGCUGGCGGCGUGCUUAACACAUGCAAGUCGAACGGAGAUAGUUUGAAAGCUUGCUGAUAACUAUCUUAGUGGCGCACGGGUGAGUAACACGUGGGCAACCUGCCCGGAAGACUGGGAUAACACCUCGAAAGGGGUGCUAAUACCGGAUACCUUCACGAAGUCGCAUGACUUUGUGCAGAAAGAAAUUCGCUUCCGGAUGGGCCCGCGUCCCAUUAGCUAGUUGGCGAGGUAACGGCUCACCAAGGCGACGAUGGGUAGCUG